RNAcentral lists this ribosomal RNA (259 nucleotides) under uncultured Staphylococcus sp. RNAcentral describes it as "partial 16S ribosomal RNA". It matches the Rfam family "Bacterial small subunit ribosomal RNA", at positions 103 to 356 of the family's 1533-position model. The record is from RNAcentral. Lineage: Bacteria; Bacillati; Bacillota; Bacilli; Caryophanales; Staphylococcaceae.
CGGGUGAGUAACACGUGGAUAACCUACCUAUAAGACUGGGAUAACUUCGGGAAACCGGAGCUAAUACCGGAUAAUAUAUUGAACCGCAUGGUUCAAUGGUGAAAGACGGUUUUGCUGUCACUUAUAGAUGGAUCCGCGCCGCAUUAGCUAGUUGGUAAGGUAACGGCAUACCAAGGCAACGAUGCGUAGCCGACCUGAGAGGGUGAUCGGCCACGCUGGAACUGAGACACGGUCCAGACUCCUACGGGAGGCAGCAGUG